This 253-nucleotide ribosomal RNA is filed under the name uncultured bacterium. RNAcentral describes it as "partial 16S ribosomal RNA". It matches the Rfam family "Bacterial small subunit ribosomal RNA", at positions 524 to 776 of the family's 1533-position model. The record is from RNAcentral.
UACGAGGGGGGCAAGCGUUGUUCGGAAUUACUGGGCGUAAAGGGCGCGUAGGCGGCCUUCUAAGUUGAACGUGAAAUCCCCGGGCUCAACCCGGGAACUGCGUCCGAUACUGGAAGGCUUGAAUCCGGGAGAGGGAUGCGGAAUUCCAGGUGUAGCGGUGAAAUGCGUAGAUAUCUGGAGGAACACCGGGGGCGAAGGCGGCAUCCUGGACCGGCAUUGACGCUGAGGCGCGAAAGCCAGGGGAGCAAACGGG